AGCUGCUAUUGGCCAACCGAAUGGGAGAGACCCGACGUUCUGUCAACUCAGCCUAUCGCAAGAGGCCUAGGAAUCGCUUGUGCGGAGGAGAGCGGCUAUGGGGAAAGGAUGCUCUUUUUGACUGGGUUAUCUCCUGGGUCGCUUUCCUUAACCCAAAGAACAAUAUAUUAAAAUGGGGCAAGAAAUGAACAAAUAGCGCCAAGAAGCAUGAAAACUAAAGACUCUGAAUAAUAAGAUUUUAUCAUUCCCGCUCCAAUAUGUCCAAUGUUCAUGCAAUAGUGAGAUCUAUAUAUAUAUAUAUGUAUCUGUAUAGAGAUAAGAACCCAGGAGCCAGGAAGUUGCGUGUGCAAAAGGAAAGCGAGCCGUCCCUAUACCGGACAUAACUUCAUACAGCAGCUCAGACUGAAGCCGCUACUGCAAAGAUGGCCUUGGACCAGAUGGUGCCUGGAUGGAUUUGAUGUAACCUACAAGGAGUGUUUCCAGCCCAGAAGACUUGGAUACAUCAUUGUCCAUUGAUUCCCUGUGAUGUAUACGUUGUGUAAAACCUGAAUAACAAUGUAAGAAGAAAUGAGCCAAUGGCUGUUGUGUUGACAUGUGACAGGAAGCAGCGGCUCGCCUGCCCGCACAUUAUCAGCAGCUUUGCUUCCAACAUGUCAUGCUCCAGUUGAUCUUUUUUUUUUUUUUUCUUCCUCCUUUUGGUUCAUCUUCCCAUUUCUGAAAGUUAACUUUUUGCCUCCCGAAUUAAUUCAAGCGUUUAGUGCUCCUGGUUUGCCUUUUUUUCUUUGCAAGGCUGCAUUUCCUCUCCCCGAAUGCAUGAUCAGAAAUGCUCAGGGAGCAGAAAGCACAUUGAUUUCUGCUUGUUCUGUCCACAGACAGGCCCUGACAAGGUUGUUAGAACAGUUGGAGAGGUCUCUACAAUCACUUAAUUACCAAAGCUGUCAGUCAGCAGGGACACGGCCGGCUACAACCAUGGCUGCAAGGAGCAUUCCACUACUGGGCAUUUUCUUGAUUGAUCUGUGCUGAUGGCAUUGCAAAAUAAUUAUAGUGAAUUUUCUGAUGUGUGAUUUUAUACCAAGUUCAUGCUUGAGAAAGGUAAUCGUAAGGAUGAGAAGGGUCAAUGCCAUUUCCUAUUACCUGAAGUCCUAGGGAAAGGGGAACAUCUAGAGGAGGCUGCAAGAACAGAGAUGGAGUAAGAAGAGAGAGAUUAAGGAUUGCUGAAGGGUAGUGCAAGCAAUUCGUCAAACCGUGCAAGUGAUUUCCUUCCGAGCCAACAAAUGGCAGAUUGAUUUUGUCCAAAGUAGGUUUAGCCACAUUAACAAUGAUCCAGCGGUUAUUAUUGAGAUUGGCUUGGGAAGUGACAGGCAGUUGGAGGAAAAGGAGGAGAGAUCCUGUUUAUAGCAGCAGUGAUUUUAACUGCUGUCAGAUGCAUUUAGGGAGGCAGCACUGUUGGCAAUUGAAUAAAUAUGUUUUUUCUUUCA
Xenopus laevis (African clawed frog) is the source of this 1478-nucleotide long non-coding RNA. RefSeq lists it as uncharacterized. The transcript has 3 exons. NCBI's taxonomy places the organism in Eukaryota, Metazoa, Chordata, Amphibia, Anura, Pipidae. The record is from RefSeq and is a predicted model, not a curated record.